RNAcentral lists this long non-coding RNA (309 nucleotides) under Citrus sinensis (sweet orange). RNAcentral describes it as "long non-coding RNA (CSIN_LNC003535)". Lineage: Eukaryota; Viridiplantae; Streptophyta; Magnoliopsida; Sapindales; Rutaceae. The record is from RNAcentral.
AAGGUUCCCUAGCUGGGGAACGAGGAGUUUGCGCCCUGCUGCGCUGAUACUGUGGUGGCCUCUGAUGAGGCUGGUAAGCGGUGACCCUACCUCCUGCUCCACUACCGGAGGCCUGGUGGUCCCUCCUCCUGAUCGGCCCAUUCCCCGGUAAUGCUUUCUUCUCUUUCCUCCCCAACCCUUCUAACUGGUCUGUCUUAAUCCGUGCAGCCUUCUCCUCUUCAAUCUCGAUGUCUCUCUUAGCCUGUUCGUAUGCGACUGCAUACAUUUGAAUAGUUGGGCUUCUCAAAUUGUACCACAGCCUUCCUAUCU